RNAcentral lists this unclassified non-coding RNA (296 nucleotides) under plant metagenome. RNAcentral describes it as "partial contains small subunit ribosomal RNA and internal transcribed spacer 1". The stretch from base 1 to 47 matches the Rfam family "Eukaryotic small subunit ribosomal RNA", at positions 1786 to 1831 of the family's 1831-position model. The record is from RNAcentral.
AAGUCGUAACAAGGUUUUCCGUAGGUGAACCUGCGGAAGGAUCAUUAAAGAAGUUGUCCUGCACCCCUCUGGGGAUGAGGUCUACGGGUGAGGCUCGGGAGUUAAACCCCCGGGUUCCCCGUCUCUUCCGCCCUGUGUAAUACCUUCCACGUUGCUUUGGCGGGCCUUGGGUACGUCCUUUCAUGGGCACCCUGCCGGCGUCGGACUUCGUCCCCGCCGGCGAGCGCCCGCCAGAGACCCUUACCAUUCUGAUUUUUUUCAAUGUCGUCUUGAGCAAAACACAAAAUAAAAUAAAA